CGGGCGGCGGCGGGCUCCAGGCCGGGUUUUGCGCGACGCCCGCCCUCCUGUUAGAAAUAGGAAAAUUCAAUAAUCAAAGCAAAGGGGAGCGCGAGGAGGAAAAAUCCGGGAUCAGGGCAAGUUUGAUGGCGCAUGCGCGCUGCUGCCUCCAUCCCAAACACACACACAUUUCCCUUGACUUGGAAAGUCAACCAAAGCAGCCCCAAGUGCAGGGAAAAGAGACUUCACCAAGUGAAGGGAGGCCAUCUAAUUCACACUGUCUUCACCUGAGACCACCUCCAAAACAAAGAACCUGACUUCUGUCCUGGCUUUGUACACUGGAAUGGACCUUCAAGCCUGUGACUUCUCAAUGCAAGGGGCUUGGAAGGACUCAGAGACUGGGAGAUGUGGCAUUGGAGUUGGCCGUAGCACUGGAUGAACAUCUUGACUGUGGAUGGACAAAGAACACAGAGAGAGCACAGGAACCUGGGAUCUGCUUAACUGUAGGCAAUAGAGAUUCCUACAGCCAGCAGAAACAGGAGUGGAUCAGACAGAAAUGCCCUGCAAGGGGAAGGUUUCUGAGCUUUUGAGCUUUUCACCCUGAAGCCAUUCCUGGAAUAUCCCUGAGGAAACACUAUUAAACUGUCCUGUCCACUAGAACACCACCCCUGCCCAGUGACAG
Non-coding RNA from Zonotrichia albicollis (white-throated sparrow), 661 nucleotides. The record is from RefSeq and is a predicted model, not a curated record. NCBI's taxonomy places the organism in Eukaryota, Metazoa, Chordata, Aves, Passeriformes, Passerellidae.